GCUUCUUUAAUAUAAAGGUUAUUAUGCUUCACUUGUAAUGAAGUUAUAUAGGUUCGAUUCCUAUAAGAAGCUCA
RNAcentral lists this transfer RNA (74 nucleotides) under Crassvirales sp. RNAcentral describes it as "tRNA-Thr". It matches the Rfam family "tRNA". From Rfam's summary of the family: Transfer RNA (tRNA) molecules are approximately 80 nucleotides in length. Lineage: Duplodnaviria; Heunggongvirae; Uroviricota; Caudoviricetes; Crassvirales. The record is from RNAcentral.